UCUGGGUCAACAAUGAUGCGAACUCUGGUGGACACCGGAGCUGAACUUGUGAUGGUUAUGUCUAUCGUCUUGCUCGACUGGCCAAUAUAUGUCGAUGGCCUGUCAGUACUAGCACCUCCAUCAGUUAGCUCAGUUGGCUUCUUUGGAUCUGAUAAUAGUAUGCUUUGAGAGUUCAGAACUCUAGUAACAUCUGUCAUUGUGGGCCGUUCUGUUGGAUCUUCUUGAGCACAAAGAAGCGCCACCUGAGUGCAUCGCAUUAUCACAGGGCUUUCAUAUUCAUCACACAAUGCUGGGUCUACAAGCUCAUGCAACCUUCCAUCUCUCCACAUAUGCCAUGCCUGAAAUAUGUU
This 350-nucleotide small RNA is filed under the name Oryza sativa Japonica Group (Japanese rice). RNAcentral describes it as "sRNA Os06g0693025". The record is from RNAcentral. Lineage: Eukaryota; Viridiplantae; Streptophyta; Magnoliopsida; Poales; Poaceae.